AGCCAUUUUACAGAUAUUGUUUGUGAGAGCGCGCGCUCAAUCUGUCCGGCCCGCGAAUAAAGCUGUGGAAGACGUCUUGCAGCAUUUCUAACUACCGAGGCACUGUGAACCCCUGAAACUUGAUUCUGUUGUUCAUGAUUUACAAUCUGAAGACUAUCAAGAGAUCAAAGGAAUAAAGGCCAGACACCAGAAACAAGCAGCUCAUCACAACCUUCCACAGCCUUGCAUAGUUCACCUGCAAGUUCUCAAUCGUCCUCCACCAGCAGCUCCCAAAGCCCAGAUGUAGACUGGGUGGAUACGUUUCUGAUACCAUGGGAUACAUUUUUUGGAGAGAGAAAAACUACCAAGUUCACGAAUGAGAAGAGAGAUGGUCCGAAUUGUGGCCAAUCCUGCUUUUCAUCGAAGCGUUUCCUGCUGUGUGUGGAUCGAAAUGUUGUACAUGACAACAUCCCCUCCUUUAUUUCUGCCCUGUGCAUGAUGUUUGGGAGCUAUUAUUGCUUCGACAUCCAUUACCCAUCAGAGCUGGCAUCAAUCUUGGAGUUUUUGCAGAAGUGUUUCUUCUCUAUCAACCCAGAGAAAGGCACUAAAGUGGAGAAGACAAACACAGCCCGUCUUCAUGUGAACCCAAGAGUUCUUACCUUGAUUCAGGAACUUUCAGAUCAUGAAUGGCGUGACGUCUAAAUAUGGACUGAAGUCAGUAAGAUUUGACAUACAGUGAAUGCCAGUUUCUCAGGUUUGUUUGAUCUGCCAUGCUUAAUGUAUGUGUUUAAGUUAGUACACAACUAUUAGCGUUUU
Molecule: non-coding RNA, 795 nt
Organism: Danio rerio (zebrafish)
Lineage: Eukaryota; Metazoa; Chordata; Actinopteri; Cypriniformes; Danionidae
Source: RefSeq